UUUCCAGACUCCUACGGGAGGCAGCAGUGAGGAAUAUUGGUCAAUGGGCGGGAGCCUGAACCAGCCAAGCCGCGUGAGGGAAGAAGGCUUUCGGGUUGUAAACUUCUUUUGACAGGGAAGAGUAGAAGACGGUACCUGUCGAAUAAGCUCCGGCUAACUACGUGCCAGCAGCCGCGGCAAUACGUAGGGAGCGAGCGUUAUCCGGAAUUAUUGGGUGUAAAGGGUGCGUAGACGGGUAAAUAAGUUAGUUGUGAAAUCCCUCGGCUCAACUGAGGAACUGCAACUAAAACUGUAUAUCUUGAGUGCGGGAGAGGAAAGUGGAAUUCCUAGUGUAGCGGUGAAAUGCGUAGAUAUUAGGAGGAACACCAGUGGCGAAGGCGACUUUCUGGACCGUAACUGACGUUGAGGCACGAAAGUGUGGGGAGCAAACAGGAUUAGAUACCCCCGUA
RNAcentral lists this ribosomal RNA (449 nucleotides) under uncultured bacterium. Its description in RNAcentral is "bacterial SSU rRNA". It matches the Rfam family "Bacterial small subunit ribosomal RNA", at positions 328 to 792 of the family's 1533-position model. The record is from RNAcentral.